AGCCGCUGCCACUGCUGCCGCCUGCAGUGUCGCAACCGUUGCGGUGGCUGUUGCCGCAUCGAGCACGGCCACAUUCGAGUGUUCCGUCGGUCCCGCUGUUACCACCAUUGCCGCUGCCAGUGUCCCUGCCGCCGCCGUCACAGUGGCGGUUGCGGCUGCCUCAACUGAUGUUGCCGGCGGCGUGCAGCUGCUCGAAUGCGUUGCUGUGGUGAAGGCCGAUGGACUCGUCCGCCUGCUUAACGGGGCACUCGCAGAUGUAGUAACCAGGCUGUCCGCAGUAGCGGCAGGUGUCGCCAGCCCCCACGGCGCCUGCAGCACUGGCGGUGCUGCCGACUCCACUGGGGGCACGGCCAGGGCCGACAGCUCCCACCAGGCUGGUCUUGCUUGCUUGGGUCUUGAGGUUGUUGUCCUUCUCCCGCAGCAUGAGCACGAGCUGUGGGGUCGUUAAGUUGGGCUGAUACAUCGUGAACUCGAUGGUGAUGGCGUACUGCGGAGGCAGGCCAUGGAGAAUGGCGUGGCGCACCGUGCUCUCGUCCCACUGGCCGCCGGCC
RNAcentral lists this long non-coding RNA (551 nucleotides) under Volvox carteri. Its description in RNAcentral is "long non-coding RNA (VCAR_LNC004145)". The record is from RNAcentral. Lineage: Eukaryota; Viridiplantae; Chlorophyta; Chlorophyceae; Chlamydomonadales; Volvocaceae.